RNAcentral lists this ribosomal RNA (393 nucleotides) under Stramenopiles sp. MAST-3A. RNAcentral's name for it is "partial small subunit ribosomal RNA". It matches the Rfam family "Eukaryotic small subunit ribosomal RNA", at positions 582 to 975 of the family's 1831-position model. The record is from RNAcentral.
AUUCCAGCUCCAAUAGCGUAUAUUAAAGUUGUUGCGGUUAAAAAGCUCGUAGUUGGAUUUCUGGAUCGAGCGCUCUGUCCGUCGCUGUGCGAUGCGUACUUGAGUUGUCUCGUUUCAUCCUUGCAGGGAAGCGUGUUCGACAUUUGUUUGUCGACGCGGGGAACUGCAUCUUUUACUGUGAAAAAAUUAGAGUGUUUAAAGCAGGCAUUUUGCUGUGAAUACAUUAGCAUGGAAUAAUAACAUAGGACCCUGGUUCUAUUUUGUUGGUUGGAGGCCAAGGUAAUGAUUAAUAGGGACAGUUGGGGGUAUUCAUAUUUAAUUGUCAGAGGUGAAAUUCUUGGAUUAACGGAAGAUGAACUUCUGCGAAAGCAUCUGCCAAGGAUGUUUUCAUCA